UACGGAGGGUUCAAACGUUGCUCGGAAUCAUUGGGCGUAAAGCGCACGUAGGCGGUCGGCUAUGUCGGAUGUGAAAGCCUCGGGCUUAACCCGAGAAGGGAAUCAGAAACUGGCCGGCUUGAGUACGGAAGAGGGUCUCGGAAUUCCCGGUGUAGAGGUGAAAUUCGUAGAUAUCGGGAGGAACACCAGUGGCGAAGGCGGAGACCUGGGCAGAUACUGACGCUGAGGUGCGAAAGCGUGGGGAGAAAACAGG
Molecule: ribosomal RNA, 253 nt
Filed under: uncultured bacterium
Lineage: Bacteria
Description: partial 16S ribosomal RNA
Rfam family: Bacterial small subunit ribosomal RNA
Source: RNAcentral